UACGUAGGGUGCAAGCGUUGUCCGGAAUUAUUGGGCGUAAAGAGCUCGUAGGCGGUCUGUCGCGUCGGAUGUGAAAAUCCAGGGCUCAACCCUGGACCUGCAUUCGAUACGGGCAGACUAGAGUUCGGUAGGGGAGACUGGAAUUCCUGGUGUAGCGGUGAAAUGCGCAGAUAUCGGGAGGAACACCAAUUGCGAAGGCAGCUCGCUGGGACGUCACUGACGCUGAGACGCGAAAGCGUGGGGAGCAAACAGG
This 253-nucleotide ribosomal RNA is filed under the name uncultured bacterium. RNAcentral's name for it is "partial 16S ribosomal RNA". It matches the Rfam family "Bacterial small subunit ribosomal RNA", at positions 524 to 776 of the family's 1533-position model. The record is from RNAcentral.